RNAcentral lists this ribosomal RNA (253 nucleotides) under uncultured bacterium. RNAcentral describes it as "partial 16S ribosomal RNA". It matches the Rfam family "Bacterial small subunit ribosomal RNA", at positions 524 to 776 of the family's 1533-position model. The record is from RNAcentral.
UGCGUAGGGGGCAAGCGUUGUCCGGAUUCAUUGGGCGUAAAGAGCGUGUAGGCGGCCAGGUAGGUCGGUUGUGAAAACUGGAGGCUCAACCUUCAGAGGUCGACCGAAACCAUCUGGCUAGAGUCCGGGAGAGGAGAGUGGAAUUCCUGGUGUAGCGGUGAAAUGCGCAGAUAUCAGGAAGAACACCCGUGGCGAAAGCGGCUCUCUGGAACGGUACUGACGCUGAGACGCGAAAGCGUGGGGAGCGAACAGG